This is a transfer RNA of Penicillium antarcticum, 83 nucleotides long. It matches the Rfam family "tRNA". Rfam says of the family: Transfer RNA (tRNA) molecules are approximately 80 nucleotides in length. Their secondary structure includes four short double-helical elements and three loops (D, anti-codon, and T loops). Further hydrogen bonds mediate the characteristic L-shaped molecular structure. tRNAs have two regions of fundamental functional importance: the anti-codon, which is responsible for specific mRNA codon recognition, and the 3' end, to which the tRNAs corresponding amino acid is attached (by aminoacyl-tRNA synthetases). tRNAs cope with the degeneracy of the genetic code in two manners: having more than one tRNA (with a specific anti-codon) for a particular amino acid; and 'wobble' base-pairing, i.e. permitting non-standard base-pairing at the 3rd anti-codon position. The record is from Rfam. Lineage: Eukaryota; Fungi; Ascomycota; Eurotiomycetes; Eurotiales; Aspergillaceae.
AUGGAUAUGCUGAAAUUGGAAAACAGGUUUCAUUUAGGCUGGAAUAGUGCUCAACUUUACAAGUUCAAGUCUUGUUAUCCAUA